RNAcentral lists this antisense RNA (167 nucleotides) under Aliivibrio salmonicida LFI1238. RNAcentral's name for it is "sok antitoxin (CssrC)". It matches the Rfam family "sok antitoxin (CssrC)". Rfam says of the family: Also identified in Shigella as CssrC. The record is from Rfam by way of RNAcentral. Lineage: Bacteria; Pseudomonadati; Pseudomonadota; Gammaproteobacteria; Vibrionales; Vibrionaceae.
GGGUGCUUUUGGCUAUCAACCGAAAGCAUAACGUAAGUUUUGUAGACGGUAGAUAACUAAAAACCCCGAAAGUAAAUUUUCAUUCACUAACGAGGCUUUAGAUAUGUACUUCAACAAUACGGAUCUUAGUCUCUAUUUUAAUAAGAGGCAAGUAAAAUGCUAAAAAA